Molecule: transfer-messenger RNA, 396 nt
Filed under: pig gut metagenome
Rfam family: transfer-messenger RNA
About the family: Bacterial tmRNA, also known as 10Sa RNA or SsrA, is named for its dual tRNA and mRNA-like properties.
Source: RNAcentral
GGGGAUGUACCGGUUUCGACAUUGUGAUUGGUAGAUUCGGGUUGCGAGUGCGGGAGCUGUGCCCGCUUAUCAACGAGCAAAUUAAAAUAAACGCUAAUAACGUUGUAUCUAUGGCUGAUUACAGAGCACAAAGACUCGCUGCUUAAUUAUAGCAGUUACAGCCCAUUCUUCCCGACCAGCUUGCCGUUGGGAUAAGAAUGAACGUAUGCAAGAUGCAGUACGCAAAUGAUGGUAUGCGUAUCAAGUUUACCAUUGGAGGUUAGACUUCCGUUAAAAAGUCUUUGGAUUUACUUAGGUUAUGUAACUUUCCUUGUGAAUUCGAGAUAAUAAGUUACUACACUCGUAGAUAUCAGCUUUUAUCCGCUAUGGACAGGGGUUCAACUCCCCUCAUCUCCA